UACGGGGGUGGCAAGCGUUGUUCGGAAUUACUGGGCGUAAAGGGUUCGUAGGUGGCCAACUAAGUCAGACGUGAAAUCCCUCAGCUUAACUGGGGAACUGCGUCUGAGACUGGAUGGCUUGAGUGCAGGAGAGGAACGCGGAAUUCCAGGUGUAGCGGUGAAAUGCGUAGAUAUCUGGAGGAACACCGGUGGCGAAGGCGGCGUUCUGGACUGCUACUGACACUGAGGAACGAAAGCCAGGGGAGCAAACGGG
Molecule: ribosomal RNA, 253 nt
Filed under: uncultured bacterium
Lineage: Bacteria
Description: partial 16S ribosomal RNA
Rfam family: Bacterial small subunit ribosomal RNA
Source: RNAcentral